This is a long non-coding RNA of Hemicordylus capensis (graceful crag lizard), 479 nucleotides long. RefSeq lists it as uncharacterized. NCBI's taxonomy places the organism in Eukaryota, Metazoa, Chordata, Lepidosauria, Squamata, Cordylidae. The transcript is spliced from 3 exons. The record is from RefSeq and is a predicted model, not a curated record.
GCCGCGCAUGCGUGUCUGGCUGGGAGAGCUCGCCGCCACGUGCACUUGCCGGGGACGGAGGAAGGAAGGAUUCGGCCCGGCGGCCAGCCGAGCCGAGCAGGAGGACAAGCACCAAGGAUGACGGAGCAUUGAGGAAGGAUUCAGGAUUCUCUUCCUCCUAGAAAAAUGAACAAAAAAACAGGAUGAAGGCCUGCAGGAGGGACUUUGCAAGAGCUUUGUCUACAUAUGAGCAAGCAUCCAGGGAAGGAGCUAUCGACGAACAAGGAACAAAGAUUAUAUGAGCAAGCCCGGUUAUAAAAUGAAGCUGCUUUAUACUGCCAAAGACAAAUGGUGCCCGCCAAGAACACAACUAGAGUCCUUUACCUGGAGCCAUUCAGAAGAUUAAAGAGUCUGCUUUGGGAGAUUACACCUUCUGGGAUGACUGCUUGCUUUUGUCCUCCGGACAGAUCACCUCAUCAAAAGCCACUUAGAGCCUGGUU